This 550-nucleotide ribosomal RNA is filed under the name uncultured bacterium. Its description in RNAcentral is "bacterial SSU rRNA". It matches the Rfam family "Bacterial small subunit ribosomal RNA", at positions 355 to 896 of the family's 1533-position model. The record is from RNAcentral.
UAGGGAAUCUUCGGCAAUGGGGGCAACCCUGACCGAGCAACGCCGCGUGAGUGAAGAAGGUUUUCGGAUCGUAAAGCUCUGUUGUAAGUCAAGAAUGAGUGUGAGAGUGGAAAGUUCACACUGUGACGGUAGCUUACCAGAAAGGGACGGCUAACUACGUGCCAGCAGCCGCGGUAAUACGUAGGUCCCGAGCGUUGUCCGGAUUUAUUGGGCAUAAAGCGAGCGCAGGCGGUUUGAUAAGUCUGAAGUUAAAGGCUGUGGCUCAGCCAUAGUUCGCUUUGGAAACUGUCAAACUUGAGUGCAGAAGGGGAGAGUGGAAUUCCAUGUGUAGCGGUGAAAUGCGUAGAUAUAUGGAGGAACACCGGUGGCGAAAGCGGCUCUCUGGUCUGUAACUGACGCUGAGGCUCGAAAGCGUGGGGAGCGAACAGGAUUAGAUACCCUGGUAGUCCACGCCGUAAACGAUGAGUGCUAGGUGUUGGAUCCUUUCCGGGAUUCAGUGCCGUAGCUAACGCAUUAAGCACUCCGCCUGGGGAGUACGACCGCAAGGUUG